AUUGAACGCUGGCGGCAGGCCUAACACAUGCAAGUCGAGCGGAUGACGGGAGCUUGCUCCUUGAUUCAGCGGCGGACGGGUGAGUAAUGCCUAGGAAUCUGCCUGGUAGUGGGGGACAACGUUUCGAAAGGAACGCUAAUACCGCAUACGUCCUACGGGAGAAAGCAGGGGACCUUCGGGCCUUGCGCUAUCAGAUGAGCCUAGGUCGGAUUAGCUAGUUGGUGGGGUAAUGGCUCAUCAAGGCGACGAUCCGUAACUGGUCUGAGAGGAUGACCAGUCACACUGGAACUGAGACACGGUCCAGACUCCUACGGGAGGCAGCAGUGGGGAAUAUUGGACAAUGGGCGAAAGCCUGAUCCAGCCAUGCCGCGUGUGUGAAGAAGGUCUUCGGAUUGUAAAGCACUUUAAGUUGGGAGGAAGGGCAGUAAGUUAAUACCUUGCUGUUUUGACGUUACCGACAGAAUGAGCACCGGCUAACUCUGUGCCAGCCGCCGCGGUAA
This 500-nucleotide ribosomal RNA is filed under the name uncultured bacterium. Its description in RNAcentral is "partial 16S ribosomal RNA". It matches the Rfam family "Bacterial small subunit ribosomal RNA", at positions 30 to 523 of the family's 1533-position model. The record is from RNAcentral.